AUCCACUUCACUGGAGUUUUACAAGUGAGCCCAGGAUACAAGACUUAGUGCUGGAGACUGUGGGUCAGGCUCAGCUCAGGGAAAGAUGUUUCCUAUAUCCCAGCUGAUUUUGCCAAGCACUUGGUCACUAAAGUGAUCUGUGAGAACAUCAUCUUUCCUCGUUGCUGGCAAGAGCUAUUGCAAAUGGAGCUCCUCUAAGGGAGUUUAUUUCGAUGAAGUUGGAAUAUCAUGAGGUAUACUGGUCCCCGCCAUUUCUGGAAGCAAGGUUACCCAAUAGAGCUGAUACAGUUCUGCCAGUUCUCUCAUACCUGCAAGAUCGUCUACCCUGCUUUGAACUCAGAAAAUCUUGGUUUUGGGACAUGCAACUCAGCACGAGGGAGAGAAAGCUGUGGAAGAGGAAUAGAGGAGGGUGAGAAGAAACAGAGAUUGUUCUUAGAAUUUUCUGAGUGGAAAGGACACUCAGACCAUCGAGUCCAACUCCUGUCCCCACACAGGACCAUUCAAAAUCCAACCCUAUGUCUGAGAGCAGUGUUUCAUCUCCCAGUGGCCCUUGACCUCCAGCACUUGGGGCCGUGCCCACCACCCUGUGGUGCAGCCCCUGUUCCUGACCCCCAGCUGCCCUCCCCUGACUGCUCCAUGCCGU
Meleagris gallopavo (turkey) is the source of this 643-nucleotide non-coding RNA. Lineage: Eukaryota; Metazoa; Chordata; Aves; Galliformes; Phasianidae. The record is from RefSeq and is a predicted model, not a curated record.